RNAcentral lists this ribosomal RNA (253 nucleotides) under uncultured bacterium. RNAcentral's name for it is "partial 16S ribosomal RNA". It matches the Rfam family "Bacterial small subunit ribosomal RNA", at positions 524 to 776 of the family's 1533-position model. The record is from RNAcentral.
UACGGAGGGGGCUAGCGUCAUUCGGAAUUACUGGGCGUAAAGCGCACGUAGGCGGAUCAGAAGGUCAGGGGUGAAAUCCCAGGGCUCAACCUUGGAACUGCCUUUGAAACUCCUGGUCUUGAGGUCGAGAGAGGUGAGUGGAAUUCCGAGUGUAGAGGUGAAAUUCGUAGAUAUUUGGAGGAACACCAGUGGCGAAGGCGGCUCACUGGCUCGAUACUGACGCUGAGGUGCGAAAGCGUGGGGAGCAAACAGG